UAAUACGUANGUGGCAAGCGUUGUCCGGAGUUACUGGGUGUAAAGGGCGUGUAGGCGGGAAGAUAAGUCAGAUGUGAAAUUCCAUGGCUCAACUGUGGCGCUGCAUCUGAAACUAUUUUUCUUGAGUGAUGGAGAGGAAAGCGGAAUUCCUAGUGUAGCGGUGAAAUGCGUAGAUAUUAGGAGGAACACCAGUGGCGAAGGCGGCUUUCUGGACAUUAACUGACGCUGAGGCGCGAAAGCGUGGGGAGCAAACAGGAUUAGAUACCCUGGUAGUCCACGCUGUAAACGAUGGAUACUAGGUGUAGGAGGUAUCGACCCCUUCUGUGCCGGAGUUAACACAAUAAGUAUCCCACCUGGGGAGUACGGCCGCNAGGUUGAAACUCAAAGGAAUUGACGGGGGCCCGCACAAGCAGUGGAGUAUGUGGUUUAAUUCGAAGCAACGCGAAGAACCUUACCAGGACUUGACAUCCCUUGAUCGCCGUAAGAGAUACCGUUUCCCCUCCGGGCAANGAGACAGGUGGUGCAUGGUUGUCGUCAGCUCGUGU
This 545-nucleotide ribosomal RNA is filed under the name uncultured bacterium. RNAcentral describes it as "bacterial SSU rRNA". It matches the Rfam family "Bacterial small subunit ribosomal RNA", at positions 521 to 1065 of the family's 1533-position model. The record is from RNAcentral.